RNAcentral lists this long non-coding RNA (665 nucleotides) under Citrus x clementina. RNAcentral's name for it is "Citrus clementina (C. clementina) long non-coding RNA (CCLE_LNC006060)". The record is from RNAcentral. Lineage: Eukaryota; Viridiplantae; Streptophyta; Magnoliopsida; Sapindales; Rutaceae.
UUGAUUUCGAUGAACCACAAGCAACCCCCAGCGACCAGUUCCAAACAACAAAAAUACAAUGAAUGAGGAAAUGAAAACUAUACAAUUUUUGUGUUUCUGUAUUUCCAUUUUGAUUAUUAUUAUUUGAGAUUAGUAUAGGGCUAUACGGACUCGAACCGUAGACCUUCUCGGUAAAACAGAUCGAACUAAUUCUUAUAAAAAUGAUUCGAACUCUUUCAAAGACCCAACAUGCAUUUUUUUUUUUUUGCAUUGGGCUCUUUCAUUAACUGAUAGAAAUAUCAGUUAGUCUACCAUAUUUUUUUCUUGACAGAAAAAUAAGGAAAUGGCUCCAUGUGCUCUAAUUCAUUAUUUGGAUUCGGAUAUAGGAGCACUCCCAAAGUGUUUCAAAGAAGGGUUAUCUUGACGUAGGUCUGCUUAUGGCCUAGAUCAACCUAAACGAAAUGGAGUCUCUAUCAUCCUGAUUAAAGAAUCACAUAUGAAACUUCAUACGCCUUAAGGUUCAUAGAACGAAAAGAGAAUUUUUGAGGUCCUUAUACUCAUUAUGCCUAGCAUUGAAUAGACUAGGUAUUUACCUUAUCAAUCUUUCAAAUCGAUGAUGGAUUCUAUUUGGUUCCUAAAAGGGCACCCGAAUCGGACCGAUCCAUUUGUCAGGCUAUUGUUCUCUU